Sarcophilus harrisii (Tasmanian devil) is the source of this 804-nucleotide long non-coding RNA. RefSeq lists it as uncharacterized. NCBI's taxonomy places the organism in Eukaryota, Metazoa, Chordata, Mammalia, Dasyuromorphia, Dasyuridae. The transcript has 4 exons. The record is from RefSeq and is a predicted model, not a curated record.
AUUUCUUAACCACCCAAAUCCCUUGAACAAGAUCUUGAAUUCUAUGAUCCCACAAAGAGUACAGAAACCACCAGAAUUAGUUGAAAAAAAAAAAACUGGGUUAUUUAACUUCAAAAAUAGAAGACUUAGAAGCUGCUGGAAAUUAAUAUCUUCUUCUCCUUUCCUCUAUAUUCAGAAGAGAUGAUCUUACCCCUUUGCAAAGCUCAUUUUACAGAUGAGGAAGCCAAGGCAAACAGUGCAACUCAUAUUUGAAUAUAUACAAGAAUCUGUGGUCUCAUCCAUGAAGAAAUGAGAGUUGGAACACUGAUGUCAAGGGAAAGCAAUUCAGGUAACAAUAGCAUCUGGCAGCUGUGAUGUAAAACUGGAGCAGAUGACAAGAGCCUUCUUUGUCAAGAUGGUCGAUCUUUGCCUGGUGGAUAAUCAUGGGCUCUCCAAGGGCAGGGGAGUCAUAUUCAUCUGAAUCAAUUAUGUGGUAUCCACUGCAUGUACUUGUUGAAUGGCCUCCUCCCACUAUGGCCAAGAAAGUCAGGAGAGUGAUGGGACUGCAAAUCCUUCUCCUUGUUCAAAUAAUUUUUCCUCCUCAGUUUCUAUAACUAUAGAUCUUCUGAUAAUAUGGAAUACCAUCUGGCUUUGCCAUUACAGUCUGAAGACACCUGGGCCUUGCCAUCUGCCCCAUCACCGACCCCUUAGGGCUUUUGGGCUUUGAUAUCAGUCCUGCAGCUGAACUCUUAUAUGUGCUGUCUCCUCUAAUUAAAAUGUGAGUUCUUGGAGAGCAGGGUCACACACUCUCCCUCUUCUUCUUUC